AAUAGAUACCCAGGUAGUCCACGCCGUAAACGAUGAAUACUAGGUGUGGGAGGGUCCAACCUUCCGUGCCGUCGUUAACACAGUAAGUAUUCCGCCUGGGGAGUACGGUCGCAAAAUUAAAACUCAAAGGAAUUGACGGGGGCCCGCACAAGCAGCGGAGCAUGUGGUUUAAUUCGAAGCAACGCGAAGAACCUUACCUAGACUUGACAUCUCCUGAAUUACCCGUAACUGGGGAAGCUCUUCGGAGCAGGAAGACAGGUGGUGCAUGGUUGUCGUCAGCUCGUGUCGUGAGAUGUUGGGUUAAGUCCCGCAACGAGCGCAACCCUUAUUGUUAGUUGCUACCAUUUAGUUGAGCACUCUAGCGAGACUGCCGGGGUUAACUCGGAGGAAGGUGGGGAUGACGUCAAAUCAUCAUGCCCCUUAUGUCUAGGGCUACACACGUGCUACAAUGGCGAGUACAACAAGAUGCAAAACCGCGAGGUGGAGCAAAACUGUAAAACUCGUCCCAGUUCGGAUUGUAGGCUGAAACUCGCCUACAUGAAGCCGG
This 547-nucleotide ribosomal RNA is filed under the name uncultured bacterium. RNAcentral's name for it is "bacterial SSU rRNA". It matches the Rfam family "Bacterial small subunit ribosomal RNA", at positions 777 to 1329 of the family's 1533-position model. The record is from RNAcentral.